RNAcentral lists this ribosomal RNA (413 nucleotides) under uncultured bacterium. Its description in RNAcentral is "bacterial SSU rRNA". It matches the Rfam family "Bacterial small subunit ribosomal RNA", at positions 29 to 487 of the family's 1533-position model. The record is from RNAcentral.
AACGAACGCUGGCGGCAGGCCUAACACAUGCAAGUCGAGCGAACCCUUCGGGGUUAGCGGCGGACGGGUUAGUAACGCGUGGGAAUAUACCCUUUGGUACGGAAUAGCCUCGGGAAACUGAGAGUAAUACCGUAUGUGCCCUUCGGGGAAGGAUUAUCGCCAAGGAUUAGCCCGCGUUGGAUUAGAUAGUUGGUGGGGUAAGUGGCCUACCAAGUCUACGAUCCAUAGCUGGUUUGAGAGGAUGAUCAGCAACACUGGGACUGAGACACGGCCCAGACUCCUACGGGAGGCAGCAGUGGGGAAUCUUAGACAAUGGGCGCAAGCCUGAUCUAGCCAUGCCGCGUGGACGAUGAAGGCCUUAGGGUUGUAAAGUCCUUUCAGAUGGGAAGGAUAAUGACGGUACCGAUCAGAAG